GAAAUGUGAUACUUGGUGUGAAUUGUAGAAUCCCAUGAACCAUCGAGUCUUUGAAUGCAAGUUGUGCCCGAAGCCAUUAGGUCGAGGGCACGUCUGCCUGGGUGUCACACAAUGUCGCCACCAACCCUCCCCGGGGUGUGGCGAAGGAUAGCUUCCCGGGAGCC
Molecule: ribosomal RNA, 164 nt
Filed under: Leucaena lanceolata var. lanceolata
Lineage: Eukaryota; Viridiplantae; Streptophyta; Magnoliopsida; Fabales; Fabaceae
Description: 5.8S ribosomal RNA
Rfam family: 5.8S ribosomal RNA (bases 1-107)
About the family: 5.8S ribosomal RNA (5.8S rRNA) is a component of the large subunit of the eukaryotic ribosome. It is transcribed by RNA polymerase I as part of the 45S precursor that also contains 18S and 28S rRNA.
Source: RNAcentral